Molecule: long non-coding RNA, 3309 nt
Filed under: Mus musculus (house mouse)
Lineage: Eukaryota; Metazoa; Chordata; Mammalia; Rodentia; Muridae
Description: long non-coding RNA chr18:76043160-76046469
Source: RNAcentral
UUUUUUUUUUUUUUUGGUUUUUUUUUUUUUCAAGAUUAAGAACAGUCUUCAUUUUAAAAGUCAGGAGAACUAUGGAGUUCAGAGAGUGAACCUCUCAGAACCAACUGGGAGAUUGUUACAGCAGAAAGGCUGCUGUGGGGUCAGCCUGACUUCUGGGUCAUAGCCAGGAGCAUAACAACUCUCCCAGGCCACACCUCAAGCCCUGCCCUGCCCCUAAGCAUGCCAUAGCUCAGAGCCUUAGGACUUCCAUGGACUUCCUUCUUUUCCGGGGUCCCCAGAGAUCAUUGGGUUUCUUGGAAGGGGUUAUUCUUACCUCGCUGGGGCCUGGGAUCCAUCCCCAAGUUACUUCACUAUAGCUAUUCAGAUGGAGUCAGGACCCAGGUCACACAUCUGACAUCAUGCCAGCUCUUGACUCCUGACUGACUUCUUGGAGUAGUGGCUCUGACACCAAGGGCUUCACAGAUUCUGUGUCCACUUUGGCUUCUAGACUUGUCAAGACCUAUAUGGGCUGCUCCAUCCAUUCAUAUCUGCUAACCCUAUUCUCUGGAUGCUAUUCCUAUGGCCUGCUGCACUUCAUGCUUAGACCCUAGGGCAGAGGAUCUCACCUUGUGGGUCACAACCCCAUGAGGGUCAAAUGACCCUUUCACAGGGAGUCACCUAAGACCAUUGGAAAACAUAGGUAUUUACAUUACAAUUCAUACAUAAACAGGAGCAAAAUUGCAGUUAGGAAGUAGCAAUUAAAAUAGCUUUAUGGUUGGCGGUCACCACAACAUGAGGAACUGUAUUAAAGGGUCACAGCGUUGGGAAGGUUGAGAACCACUUUAAAUAUUUAUAUAUUUAAAUCAUUCCUCAAAAUUUUUAAUGAUUCUUGAAAUUUAUCCCACAUUCAUCUAAGUACCCCUCUCCCUUCCCUGGCUCUCUCUGGCCAUCCUUCCCUCCCUCUCUUUCCUUCAUUCCUCUCCCUUUGACUGAGGCAGGGAGCUUUUCCAUACCUGGGUCAUGAGAAGUGCGUCCAUCGAGGAAGCUAACCCUUGCAUCCCUAGGUCAUUCUUUGUUCAUUAAGAGGCUGAGAAGCAAAAAGAAAGCAGGUGCAGUCAAGCCCCUCUGCUUACUAGCUGACCUCAGGUAGGUUCCCUGGGCCCUCCUUUUAUCUCUCUGCCCCACCAGUGAAAUGAUAGCUUGUGGAGAGGGUGGCAUCAAGAAAAUGACUCAUUUAGACAGCCAAAAAAUGCAAGUGUUGACAUACUUGUAUGAACUAAGGGCUGGCGCAAUUUUAAGUGCACACACAGCAUGGUCUUUGUAAAAGCAAAUGGAGCUGCGGGCCUAAGAUGUUCAGGGUCCAGCCCUGUUAUGGAAGGACAGAGAUGUAGAGCACAGGAUAUCACUGCUAUCAUAGGGAGUCCAAGUACCAGCCCCACUGUGGACCGAUUCAACAAGCUCCCCGUACAACUGCUUCACUAACAGCUGUUUGCUGUGGGGCAAGUGACUCAACACCUCUGGGCCUCCAUUUCCUCCUCUGUAAAAUGGAAGCUAUCUCCCUGCGCAGACUGCCAGGGCUCCUGUAAGAAAUAAACAAGACAAUACUUGUAAGGCUCUUCUCACAGUGCCCAAGCAUUCAAUAAGGGCUCCAUGGGAUUCUUGUCAAAUGUGUCCCAUCUUAUGCAAGAGACAGUUCUGGAAAAGUUGUGAAACCAAAUCCCAUUUUCCCACAAGUGACUUCAUCACUACAGGGAUACUUUAUCUCUGCCUCCCAUCGUCCUCGGAAGGGAAAGACUUGGGACACCUCUGCAACAGGGGCCUGUCUCUUCCCAGUUUCAAUAUCACCCAUUUAUGCCGUGGAAAAGUAGAACGGGAGGGUGGUAGAUGUCAUGAUUCCUUGCUGCCCCUAUAUGUAAUGGGUGGCUCUGUCUUAUUAAUAUUUUAAAAAUUCAUUCAUCUUGCUCUUGUCUGUACCUUUCCAUCUUUCUUUCCUGUCGUCUCUUUGCGUCUCUGUUUCCUCUCCUCCCUACAAUCUGUAUGUAACUCAUGAAAUAGGUUGUACUUCCAGCUGGCUUCCAUUCUUUCACCAGAAUAUUCUUUCUUUAACUCUUUUGGAGUUCAUAAACUCUUUGGAAAAUCUAAUGUGUGAUGCAACCUGUGUCCCCCAGAAAAAGAAACACUCUUUAUGCUCAGUCCCACAGAGCAGUCUAGGGUCAAAGGAGCCCUUGAAGUCUACCAUGUCACACUGCUAAGGAGCCUGAUCAGCCAGAGUCAAGGUCCUUCAUAAAUAGCCAUGUCCCAGUAAUGGCUGCUAAGGUAUAUGUUUAUUCUUGCCCUUCCCCAAUAUGUAGACUCCACAGUCUAGCACGUGUAACAUCUGCCACCAGGCUCCAACCAUCUUCCCACGACAUUUUCCCUUGCAUGCAUGAAUGUUUCUGAUCAAGCUGGUUAGAUGGUUGGCCUUUGUCCCUCUUGGCUGUCACCUCACCUCUGUCCCAUUUCUCCACUCUCAAGCACACUACCCACAACCCUUAUCUGUGUCCAACUCACAGUGCAAAUGUAUGUGACCUUCCCCUGCCUGAUCAGAGGAAAAGCAUGGAGGAUGGGCAGAGCAAAGAGGCUCAGCUCUCAAAACAGAAAUCCAAGGAGGAGCAUGGAACUGUAAGCUGCCAAUAUAGCUGAGGUAGGAGCUGAAAGAGCAACCAGGACCCAGUCUGGUGGGAUACUGGAGAACUGGAAGUGGCCAACUCCCAGGCCCAUGAACUCGCUGGGUACUAUCCCAAAGAUGGCAUUGCCUACAUAAGACAGUUCAGCCAAACCUAAUCACCAACCAGCACCGCUUCAUUCACAACCCUCGAGAAACCUGGGAGAAUGCACGAUUGGUGUCCAAGUUCCCAUUCUGUGGGUCUGCGUGGGUUCCAGGAAACUGCAUCCUACCCACAUGUCUAGGAGAGCUGGCCAUGGCUUCAAGAGAUGCUCGGUGCCUCCCUUGCUGCACGGCGGGCGUGGCCACCUGCUGCACUGCUCUCUCCUCAGUGAGAGAACUUUACAGUCACCUCACCCUGAAGUGCCUGUCUCAGUAGACCCGGCAGAGAGAAGCUGUUGCUCCUCUGUUAGCAGAUGUCCCCAAACGGCAUCAACAGCCUCAAGCAAGGACCCUGGCUCAUGGUUUCCUGCUGCUGUGAUUAGCGGAGCCUGCCUUGUACUUUGCUUUAGUUCCUCCUGUUGCAUUCAGAGCGCCAAAACAUCCAGUUCCCCAUGAUGGAGGCUGAUGUCAGAGGUGAUAAACGUGAGCGGAGCUCAGCUCCUGGCUCAAAGUUGUCCUUCUGU